ACGAGGUUUUAUUCAUGUCACGUUCUUUUCGUCUACUCGGUCUACUACUUAACGCAUCCAGUUUGCGCGGUAGACUCGUGGGCGAAAUCAACAACUGAUUCGAACCUGCUGAAAGUUAAAAAACCCGCGCCACUGCGCGGGUUUUUUU
Non-coding RNA from Pantoea dispersa, 148 nucleotides. The record is from Rfam. Lineage: Bacteria; Pseudomonadati; Pseudomonadota; Gammaproteobacteria; Enterobacterales; Erwiniaceae.